AAACGAAAGGAAAAAGAUUAUGCAAGUUGUUAUUGGCAGGAUAAUAGCUCACUGUUGGGAUUACAACACCAUUGAAAAGAUAACCCUCAUUUUUUAAUUCUGUGAAAUCUCAUGAGAAAAAAAUAAAGGCAAAUGAAGCUCAGAUGUUUAGAAUGCACUGGAGCCGUACAUGUUUAGAAUACAGAGGAAUUUGAAAUAAAAACAGAAAUGUUUACACUUUAAGUUCAAAUCCUCAAAGGGAAUUAAUAACUGAAUUUAGCCUUCUCUCCAUUCAGUAGAUCCUGUAGGUUCUGUUUAACUGGAAUGGAAAUAGACACUUCACAAAGGUGAACCAAAGCAUGUUGUCUCAACACCUAAUAUAGACUUAGCCAUUGUGAUGCAAUGUUUCUGUCAUAAAUAAUUAAUGUAUUCACAGCAGCACUAUAGGUACUGAUGGCUCAGGUUCCUAUGAGAUGUCUUUAACUAUUGAUGAAGGAUGAACUCUCAUAGAGAUUAUAACCAUCGCUAUAAUUGUUGUUUAUAUUGUCAGCUGGGCAGCCUGUGAAUUAAAGCUGCACAAGCAGAGGAAAGAAGACAGUGGAAGCUGUACGGCCAUCUGAAAGCCUGGGCAUUUCCUCUGAGGAGCAGCUAGCAGCUGGCAUGCAGCUAGCAGGAUAAACUGGGUGGCUCCAUGUUCUGCUAAAAAUUGAAGACAAUGGAUGUUGGUGGACAACUAGCAGCGUUUCUGCCAAGCUGGCUCAAUUAGACUAAAGGGAAAGACUUAGUCUAUAAGCUUGUUUCUCUUUCCUCUCACGCUGGAUAUGAAUAAGAAAGCAAGUAAUCCUAGUCACAGCCAUCUUUAAGGGAGAGGAAAAUAAAUUUCCAUUUUGUUUGAGACAACUUAUAAGCAUAAAAAGACCCAGUCUUAAAAGGAAACUGAUACUGUGGACAGCAGAGCAGACAGAACCCGAGCUCCUACUGACAAGACUGAGCCGCUGCAUCCACCCACCAAGAAGCCUGCUUUAACCUCUACAUGACCUACUUUCUGGGAGAAAAGAUGCCCUUAUCGUUUAAGCCACUUUGGUUCAGUCUCUUUUUCCUGUAGUUGAAAAUAUCUUAAUAGAAUUCCUUACAGGCCUCCCGACGCGCACAAUCUCUGUUAUAAUCGCCCUCAGCAAUCUCUUCUCCUUCACAGCACUUAUUACGAUUUUGAAUCAUCGAUUUGUUACCUGUUUGAAGUCUAUCCGUGCACUAGGCUAUGGGCCAUGAGAGUUGAGACUAGAUCUGUUUUGUUCACUACUGUACACCUAGUAAAUGGAACAGGAUGCUUGGCACACAGGAGGCUUGUAAGUAAAUGGUAGCUAUCAUAAAAAUGAUGUAGACAAUAAGCCUCACUCAUUCAAAGAGAUCGCUUCUCGCAGAGGCAGAGCCACGGUCACGGGAAGCAAUGGCGGAGGACAGCUUGGGGAAUCACCCUCUCCUUUAUUCUUCAGGUUUUUGUCAUAUACUAUUUAUUAUUUCAGCCAUAUCUGACAUCUGUUUUGUAGCUUUGGUGUGACCUCAAAUUUGAAUAUGGGACCACUUCUAUCUAGAGCUUGGUCUGAAAAGGAGUGAUGGCAGAGCUGAGAGCACAGAUGACAGUCACAGCUGCAGCUUCUGUGGUUGUGCUGUGGCUUUCAUUCGGGCAUCCCAGGAGUGCUGAGUGCAGAAACAGGACCAGACGAGUUCGAACAGCCUCUUCUGUCACAUUAGUGUUGAAGCAAGGUCUUCCCAAACAGCCAAGACCUUGACUUCUGAUCUGCAGAGGCCAUCCUAUGCACAUGCAGCCUUCAGACACAUGGCUUUCCUCCUAGGCAUGUUUCUGGAUAAGUUUUCUUUUUUCCUACUCUUUUCCCCACCUCCCAAACCUUUCUGCCAUUCUUUUACGUCAGGUAAUAGAAAAUAAUUUAAAUAAUUAACUUAAUAUGUUCAUAUCUACAGGUAACCUCUAAAGUCUUUUACAUUCCACUCUGAAAUGUACUUUUAAAGUCUUCUUUCUGAUUCAUACACUUGGUGUUUCUUCCUAUUACCUAUGGCAUUAAAUUUUAAUUAAUAUUUAUCUCAAUGCUCUAUCUAAAUGUGAUUACUACAUAAAAGUUUGGGGAAAAAAGUGUAAGCAUGACAUUGAUAGCAUGUCCAAGUCUUUACUUUCAAAAUAUUUUUUUAGAUAAAACUGUUUGACUUUUAGCAACAACGAUACUACCAGCUGUCAUUUACUGAGUCCCUUCACUAUUC
This is a long non-coding RNA of Equus caballus (horse), 2253 nucleotides long. RefSeq lists it as uncharacterized. Lineage: Eukaryota; Metazoa; Chordata; Mammalia; Perissodactyla; Equidae. The record is from RefSeq and is a predicted model, not a curated record.